AGCGAACGCUGGCGGCAGGCUUAACACAUGCAAGUCGAGCGGGCACUUUCGGGUGUCAGCGGCGGACGGGUGAGUAACGUGUGGGAACGUGCCCUCUGGUUCGGAAUAACUCAGGGAAACUUGAGCUAAUACCGGAUACGCCCUUUUGGGGAAAGGCUUGCUGCCGGAGGAUCGGCCCGCGUCUGAUUAGCUAGUUGGUGAGGUAACGGCUCACCAAGGCGACGAUCAGUAGCUGGUCUGAGAGGAUGAUCAGCCACACUGGGACUGAGACACGGCCCAGACUCCUACGGGAGGCAGCAGUGGGGAAUAUUGGACAAUGGGCGCAAGCCUGAUCCAGCCAUGCCGCGUGAGUGAUCAAGGCCUUAGGGUUGUAAAGCUCUUUUAUCCGGGACGAUAAUGACGGUACCGGAGGAAUAAGCCCCGGCUAACUUCGUG
Molecule: ribosomal RNA, 435 nt
Filed under: uncultured bacterium
Lineage: Bacteria
Description: partial 16S ribosomal RNA
Rfam family: Bacterial small subunit ribosomal RNA
Source: RNAcentral